This is a long non-coding RNA of Phyllostomus hastatus (greater spear-nosed bat), 728 nucleotides long. RefSeq lists it as uncharacterized. NCBI's taxonomy places the organism in Eukaryota, Metazoa, Chordata, Mammalia, Chiroptera, Phyllostomidae. The record is from RefSeq and is a predicted model, not a curated record. The transcript is spliced from 2 exons.
GACAGUUGUUGGCCCAGUCCUGUCCAUCUACUUCAACCUGAUUGGCCGAGGCUGAGGACGGAGCAGGAAAGGGAGGCCGGGUUCUGAGGGAAGCCCUCCCAGGUCGGCUCCACCAGCGAGACGCACAGGUAGAACGACACUGUUGCCCUCAACGGACUGGAGGCGACUGGGUCCCCACGCAGGCACCGGGCCUCGCUCAUCCUUCGCCAGUUCGGUGCGGCGUGCACUGGUGUCCUCGGCGUGUCUCGGUCAGCCGCCCCGUGAACCAGGUGGAGCCCGCUUGACCGUUUGGGAGACGGAGGUUAGGGCGCCUUGCCAAGGCCUUUCAGCUAGUGGAGGGGCCUCCAGCAGACUCUGGAACAGUCUCGCCUGCCAGACUUCCCAAAGGCGAGGUGUAUGGGAUCGUCCGGCAACCAGUCCCGUUCGAACAGCUCCCACAAUUGCCCUUCUUCGUCUCCUCCUUGUCCCUAGAAGCAAAUCCUUAAUCGUUAGGCAAAGCCCUUGGGAUCUGCCCAUGCAGGGACUGUGCUUCUGCCUCCAGCCAUGCCACAGUGACUCCCAGGCACAGAAUCCCCUUCCUUCACCGAAGUCCUCUUUCCGUCUCAGCUCAAAGCUCACUGUCUCCCUGUUUAUGUCACCACACACACCCACCUCUGCUGCUGCUUGCCCUGGUGCAUCGUGGCUGUGUCCUGCUCUGGUGCUGUCAAUUAUAUGUCUGCCCCAUGCAA